Molecule: long non-coding RNA, 5932 nt
Filed under: Salmo salar (Atlantic salmon)
Lineage: Eukaryota; Metazoa; Chordata; Actinopteri; Salmoniformes; Salmonidae
Description: lncRNA (ENSSSAG00000108053.1)
Source: RNAcentral
AGGGCACUCAAGGAAGGCAUGUUCAGACCCUGUUCUCCGAUAGUAGACUGAGAGGAUAGAAAGAGAGAGGGGGGGAGUUGUUCCCUUUUGUGCAGAGGACUAGUGAUGGAUUGACUUUUCCAAUAUUUACUGUGCUCAGCAGCUCUUAAUCCAGCCCAGGUGAACCAUGGGCCUUCCCCUCACCACAGCCCAGCAAGCCAUGAGUGUCCAUUUAAUCACCAGCACAGAAAUUAGAUCCAACAGCCACUGCUCUAAAGACCUUUAAAUAUGCAGUGUACUGUAGAAGAGAAGAACCAGGGAGAUACAACAAUGCAAAACAUCAACAAACAACAGCAACAAGGACAACAACAACAUAUAAUAGCAUAAAAAAACAGGUACUUUUCCCUCUGCAUACCAUAGCUGCUUUAUACUGUAAGCUCAGGGAGAAAGGUUAGGAACCAAAGUUUUUAAAGAGAGUAUACCACUAAAUGUUUAAUUUGGGUCAAACUCAGUAAGAACAGACACUAUCCAUGUGGCCUAUUUAACCCUUUUAGUAGCCGCAGCAAAUACUUACGGCUGAGCAUAAAAUACUCUUCUGAUGAGACAGCGUUUGGGAGUGUUACUAAUCCACACGUGGUUGAAAUUAGGUUGCAGGGCUACGUCAGCAAAGCCUAUUGCAUAUUUCAAUUCUUAAAGCGGGUGUGAAGGUGAAGCGCUGUCAGACGUACUUUUGCAAAUAGCGUGCAAGUGAAACUAAUCUUGCCAAAAUAGAUUAGGCACUGUGAGUGAACAUGGCCCAAUUUACCAUCUGCUUGCCCGCAAGUGUAGAGAUGUUGGUGGACCAGAGAAACAAAAAUGACAAUAAAGCAGACAUACUUCGGGAAUCCAAAUUGCCCUUAAACUGGGAACACAGUGGGAACACAGAUUGGGAUCUGGACCAGUGACUGUUGUGACUCCAAUUAUAUAUAAUGCUUCUUCUAAUGAACUCAUUACCACCAUAGUGACAGCUAGGACUGCUCUGUUUAUGUUAUGACAUAAUGUGUAAUAAUAACUAAAUGCUUUUGGCCACUGUCACAAUUAUGCAUUUUAAAUACUAAGAUGACAUAACAGUGUCAUAACAACUUUGUGUCAAUAGCAGAGCUGGUCCUAGAUGGCCCUAUACAGGCCCUCUGGGAUCUAGUUGCACAACGCUUCCUGGUUCACUCUCAUUUACGUUGGACAAUGAGAAGGUUGUCCUUGCAGACAGGGUUAGGGUCGUGGUCGAGGCUAGGGUUAAGCUUGAACCAGGAUGUGGACAUGAAGCUAGGGUUAGGGUUGUGGUUGAGGCUAAGUUUAGGCUUGAACCAGGAUGGGGACAUUAAGCUAAGGUUAGGGUUUAGUGUUAGAGUUGAAUCAGGAAGUGGACAUGAAGCUAAGAUUGUGGUUGAGACUAGGUGUAACAUGCUGGAUAUGAACCCAGGUGUCUCACAGGUGCGACCAACGUUUUAGACCAUUAGACCAAUAGAAAAUUCCCUCUUGGGCUUAGGGCUGACACUGGUUUUGAAGUUUGCAUGCGGGGCUACCUCAUCAUGUGACCAUGACCUCUACAUAAGGUUAAGCUUGAACUGGGAUGUGGACAUGAGGCUCGGGUUAGGGUUGUGGUUGUGGUUGAGGGUUAGGGUUGCACCGGGAUGUGGACAUGAGGCUAGGGUUAGGGUUAGGGUUGUGUUUGAGGGUUAGGCUUGAACUGGGAUGUGGACAUGAAGCUAGGGUUAGGGUUAGGGUUGUGGUUGAGGGUUAGGGUUGCACCGGGAUGUGGACAUGAGGCUAGGGUUAGGGUUGUGGUUGAGGGUUAGGGUUGCACCGGGAUGUGGACAUGAGGCUAGGGCUAGGGUUAGGGUUGUGGUUGAGGGUUAGGGUUGCACCGGGAUGUGGACAUGAGGCUAGGGUUAGGGUUAGGGUUGUGGUUGAGGGUUAGGGUUGAACUGGGAUGUGGACAUGAAGCUAGCGAUAUGGUUGUGGUUGUGGUUGAGGGUUAGGUUUGCACCGGGAUGUGGACAUGAGGCUAGGGUUAUGGUUAGGGCUGUGGUUGCACCGGGAUGUGGACAUGAGGCUAGGGUUAUGGUUAGGGCUGUGGUUGCACCGGGAUGUAGACAUGAGGCUAGGGUUAUGGUUAGGGCUGUGGUUGCACUGGGAUGUGGACAUGAGGCUAGGGUUAGGGUUGAGGGUUAGGGUUGAAUUGCGAUGUGGACAUGAAGCUACGGUUAGGGUUGUGGUUGCACCGGGAUGUGGACAUGAAGUUAGGGUUAGGGUUGGGGUUGUGGUUGAGGGUUAGGGUUGCACCGGGAUGUGGACAUGAGGCUAGGGUUAGGGUUGGGGUUGAGGGUUAGGGUUGCACCGAGAUGUGGACAUGAGGCUAGGGCUAGGGUUAGGUUUGGGGUUGUGGUUGAACUGGGAUGUGGACAUGAAGCUAGGGAUAUGGUUGUGGUUGUGGUUGUGGUUGAGGGUUAGGUUUGCACCGGGAUGUAGACAUGAGGCUAGGGUUAUGGUUAGGGCUGUGGUUGCACUGGGAUGUGGACAUGAGGCUAGGGUUAGGGUUAGGGUUGUGGUUGUACCGGGAUGUGGACAUGAGGCUAGGGCUAGGGUUGGGGUUGAGGGUUAGGGUUGCACCGGGAUGUGGACAUGAGGCUAGGGUUAGGGUUGGGGUUGUGGUUGAGGGUUAGGGUUGCACCGGGAUGUGGACAUGAGGCUAGGGUUAGGGUUGGGGUUGUGGUUGAGGGUUAGGGUUGCACCGGGAUGUGGACAUGAGGCUAGGGCUAGGGUUAGGGUUGUGGUUGAGGGUUAGGGUUGCACCGGGAUGUGGACAUGAGGCUAGGGUUAGGGUUGGUAGGAAUAUGAGCAUAGAGAAGGCGACAGUCAAAAUACCUCCAAUGUGCCUGUUAAUUUGACCCUUUAUUACAGCUAAGAGAGAGGGCUUACUUCACAUCAGGCAUGUAGGCUUUCCAUUUUUCAUUUCCCUGUCUCUUCCAUUCGAUGACACAGACUUUGUUUGGGUAAGGCCAACCUGGUAGUUGAUUUAAUAAAACCUGCAAGCCCUACUGGACUGGAUUGUGGUGUGUUCUGGAAGCGAUGGGCUCUGAGCUUCAAUCGCUCCGAGCUUCAAAUCAGCAGGAGGGUGACUAACACAUUACACCACUACGUUCCAAUGAAUACACUAGAAAAGGAAAUUUCCUGAAGAAAAUGUGGUGCUCGUUCCUUUUUAAGUGUAUUCAUGUGGAUAAGUGGUAGAGAUAAGUGGUAGAGGUAGUGGCAGUGAAGGAAAUAGUAUAAGUAGUAAUGGUAGUUAUAUGGUUUUUAUGGUCUACAGUUAUAGUAACCUACUUGGGGGUGGUUUGUAGGUGUAGAGUUAUUAUAGUGGGUUAUAGCUUGUAGUAAUGGUAGUGGUAGUAGUGGGGACUGUGGCAGUAGUGGUGGUGGCGGUAGUAGUAGUAGUAGUAGUAGUAGUAGUAGUGGUAGUUACUGCAAUAGUAGUGGUAUUAGUAGUGACUGUGGUAAAUUAUAGCAAGAAGCUUUAUUGAAACAAUCAACAACAACAACAAAAAUAACUCUGUACUCCCUGGACCAGAGCUCGUUAAUACGUACCAAAACUAGACCAAAUGCUAGCUACACCUUGGACCAGAACUGGACCAGAGCUAGAGCGGACCAAAGCUAGAGCAGACCAGAGCUAGCUAUCUAGCUACUAGCUACACCCUGGACCAGAGCUAGUUAGUGCGGACCAGAGCUAGACCACAGCUUUUGCAGAACAAAGCUAGCUAGCUACUCUCUACACCUUGGACCAGAGCUAGUUAGUACAGACCAGAGCUAGACCAGAGCUAGUGUGAACCAUAACUAGCUAGCUACUAGCUAUGCCCAGGACAAGAGCUAGUGCAGACCAGAGCAUUAGUUGUGGUUAGUAGUUGUGGUCAAUAGUUGUGGUUAGUAGUUGUGUGGUCAGUAGUUGUGGCUAGUAGUUGUGGUCAGUACUUGUGUGGUUGUGGUCAGUAGUUGUGUUGUUCAGUAGUUAUGUGGUUGUGGUCAAUAGUUGUGUGGUCAGUAGUUGUGGUCAGCAGAUGUGUGGUUGUGGUCUUUAGAUGUGGUCAGUAGUUAUGGUCAGUAAUUGUUUUAUUGUGGUCAGUAGUUGUGUGGUCAGUAGUUGUGUAGUUAUGGUCAGUAGUUGUGUGGUUGUGGUCAGUAGUUGUGUGGUUCAGUGGUUAUGUGGUCAGUAGUUGUGGUCAGUACUUGUGUGGUUGUGGUCAGUAGUUGUGUUGUUCAGUAGUUAUGUGGUUGUGGUCAGUAGUUGUGUGGUUGUGGUCAGUAGUUGUGUGGUCAGUAGUUGUGUGGUUGUGGUCAGUAGUUGUGUGGUUGUGGUCAGUAGUUGUGUGGUCAGUAGUUGUGUGGUUGUGGUCAGUAGAUGCGUGGUUGUGGUCAGUAGUUGUGUGGUCAGUAGUUGUGUUGUUCAGUAGUUAAGUGGUUGUGGUCAGUAGUUGUGUGGUUGUGGUCAGUAGUUGUGUGGUCAGUAGUUGUGUGGUUGUGGUCAGUAGUUGUGUGGUCAGUAGUUGUGUGGUUGUGGUCAGUAGUUGUAUGGUCAGUAGUUGUGGUCAGUCGUUGUGUGGUUGUGGUCAGUAGUUGUGUGGUCAGUAGUUGUGUGGUUGUGGUCAGUAGUUGUGUGGUCAGUAGCUGUGGUCAGUAGUUGUGUGGUUGUGGUCAGUAGUUGUGUGGUCAGUAGUUGUGUGGUUGUGGUCUUUAGAUGUGGUCAGUAGUUAUAGUCAGUAAUUGUUUUAUUGUGGUCAGUAGUUGUGUGGUCAGCAGUUGUGUGGUAGUGGUCAGUAGUUGUGGUCAGUAGUUGGGUGGUUGUGGUCAGUAGUUGUAUGGUCAGUAGUUGUGUGGUUGUGGUCAGAAGUUGUUUGGUCUGUAGUUGUAGUUGUGGUCAAUAUUUGUGUGGUUGUGGUCAGUAGUUGUGUGGUUGUGGUCUUUAGAUGUGUUGUUCAGUAGUUAAGUGGUUGUGGUCAGUAGUUGUGUGGUUGUGGUCAGUAGUUGUGUGGUCAGUAGUUGUGGUCGGUAGUUGUGUGGUCAGUAGUUGUGGUCGGUAGUUGUGUGGUCAGUAGCUGUGGUCAGUAGUUGUGUGGUUGUGGUCUUUAGAUGUGGUCAGUAGUUAUAGUCAGUAAUUGUUUUAUUGUGGUCAGUAGUUGUGUGGUCAGCAGUUCUGUGGUAGUGGUCAGUAGUUGUGGUCAGUAGUUGGGUGGUUGUGGUCAGUAGUUGUAUGGUCAGUAGUUGUGUGGUUGUGGUCAGUAGUUGUGGUCAGAAGUUGUUUGGUCUGUAGUUGUAGUUGUGGUCAAUAUUUGUGUGGUUGUAGUCAGUAUUGGCGUGGUCAGUAAGAGACCUUUCUUUUUUUGCUGAGUUUAGUAUGAAAAGUAUGCAUAGUAUUUUCGAGCAACACUACCAGUGCCAGUCUGCAUGUUUUAAAGUUGAAAGUUUAUUUAUUGUAUGAUUGAUAGGAUAGCCUGAACAUGUGUAAGUGUCACGGUUUUUGUCGGUAAUGGAGGACCAAAACGCAGCAGGUAUGUGUAAGCUCAUCUUGACGUUUAUUAACUUCCCAAAAUAACAAAACAAGUGAACGAACGAUAUACAGACAGUCUUGCAAGGCGCAAGGCACAAGGCUAAACACAGAACAAUCUCCCACAAACACACAGACAAACACACCCAACUAAUAUAGGACUUCCAAUCAAAGGCAACACCACACAGCUGCCUUCAAUUGGAAGUCCACCCCAAUUAACUCUACAUAGAAACACACUUACUAGACUACACAUAGAAAUACAUAAACAUAGACCAUAAACCAAAAACCCGGAAAUACUAAAUCAAACACCCUUUUACCAAAACACCACCCCGGACCACAUAAAACAAAUACCCUCUGCCACAUCCUGACCAAACUACAAUA